AGAGUUUGAUCAUGGCUCAGGAUGAACGCUAGCUACAGGCUUAACACAUGCAAGUCGAGGGGCAGCAUGGUCUUAGCUUGCUAAGGCCGAUGGCGACCGGCGCACGGGUGAGUAACACGUAUCCAACCUGCCGUCUACUCUUGGACAGCCUUCUGAAAGGAAGAUUAAUACAAGAUGGCAUCAUGAGUCCACAUGUUCACAUGAUUAAAGGUAUUCCGGUAGACGAUGGGGAUGCGUUCCAUUAGAUAGUAGGCGGGGUAACGGCCCACCUAGUCUUCGAUGGAUAGGGGUUCUGAGAGGAAGGUCCCCCACAUUGGAACUGAGACACGGUCCAAACUCCUACGGGAGGCAGCAGUGAGGAAUAUUGGUCAAUGGGCGAGAGCCUGAACCAGCCAAGUAGCGUGAAGGAUGACUGCCCUAUGGGUUGUAAACUUCUUUUAUAAAGGAAUAAAGUCGGGUAUGCAUACCCGUUUGCAUGUACUCUAUGAAUAAGGAUCGGCUAACUCCGUGCCAGCAGACGCGGUAAUACGGAGGAUCCGAGCGUUAUCCGGAUUUAUUGGGUUUAAAGGGAGCGUAGAUGGAUGUUUAAGUCAGUUGUGAAAGUUUGCGGCUCAACCGUAAAAUUGCAGUUGAUACUGGAUAUCUUGAGUGCAGUUGAGGCAGGCGGAAUUCGUGGUGUAGCGGUGAAAUGCUUAGAUAUCACGAAGAACUCCGAUUGCGAAGGCAGCCUGCUAAGCUGCAACUGACAUUGAGGCUCGAAAGUGUGGGUAUCAAACAGGAUUAGAUACCCUGGUAGUCCACACGGUAAACGAUGAAUACUCGCUGUUUGCGAUAUACUGCAAGCGGCCAAGCGAAAGCGUUAAGUAUUCCACCUGGGGAGUACGCCGGCAACGGUGAAACUCAAAGGAAUUGACGGGGGCCCGCACAAGCGGAGGAACAUGUGGUUUAAUUCGAUGAUACGCGAGGAACCUUACCCGGGCUUAAAUUGCUGAUGAAUUACGGUGAAAGCCGUAAGCCGCAAGGCAUCUGUGAAGGUGCUGCAUGGUUGUCGUCAGCUCGUGCCGUGAGGUGUCGGCUUAAGUGCCAUAACGAGCGCAACCCUUGUUGUCAGUUACUAACAGGUUCUGCUGCGGACUCUGACAAGACUGCCAUCGUAAGAUGUGAGGAAGGUGGGGAUGACGUCAAAUCAGCACGGCCCUUACGUCCGGGGCUACACACGUGUUACAAUGGGGGGUACAGAGGGCCGCUACCACGCGAGUGGAUGCCAAUCCCAAAAACCUCUCUCAGUUCGGACUGGAGUCUGCAACCCGACUCCACGAAGCUGGAUUCGCUAGUAAUCGCGCAUCAGCCACGGCGCGGUGAAUACGUUCCCGGGCCUUGUACACACCGCCCGUCAAGCCAUGGGAGCCGGGGGUACCUGAAGUGCGUAACCGCGAGGAGCGCCCUAGGGUAAAACUGGUGACUGGGGCUAAGUCGUAACAAGGUA
Molecule: ribosomal RNA, 1486 nt
Filed under: metagenome
Description: bacterial SSU rRNA
Rfam family: Bacterial small subunit ribosomal RNA
Source: RNAcentral